RNAcentral lists this ribosomal RNA (292 nucleotides) under uncultured bacterium. Its description in RNAcentral is "partial 16S ribosomal RNA". It matches the Rfam family "Bacterial small subunit ribosomal RNA", at positions 505 to 796 of the family's 1533-position model. The record is from RNAcentral.
GUGUCAGCAGCCGCGGUAAUACAGAGGGUGCAAGCGUUGUUCGGAAUUAUUGGGCGUAAAGCGCGUGUAGGCGGCUUGGCAAGUCAGAUGUGAAAGCCCUCGGCUUAACCGAGGAAGUGCGUCUGAAACUGCUGAGCUUGAGUGUCGGAGAGGAUGGCGGAAUUCCGCAAGUAGAGGUGAAAUUCGUAGAUAUGCGGAGGAACACCGGUGGCGAAGGCGGCCAUCUGGACGACUACUGACGCUGAGACGCGAAAGCGUGGGGAGCAAACAGGAUUAGAAACCCUCGUAGUCC